UGACUUCAUUCAACCAGGGUUGUUGUGCUAUUUGGCAACAAUCUUUCCGAUGAAAGAUUGGCCAAUAGCAAACCCAUAACGAUCCCGGGACGAAACCAUGAUGACCAUCUUGUCACUGCAAGAUGCAAUCAGCUCCACAGGUGGAGCGAGAUGAGGGAAAUUGUUUUGACCCCUCGCCUCCCGCUCCGAUCCUGCCCGUAAUAAAUCAGGUGUUCAUCCUUUCGGUGGUGAUUGCACCAAGUGACUGGGGGCAAAAAGUAAUCCCGCACAGCACCGAGAAGUGGACAAUCUGCCGUAGGUAACAAAAUAGAAAAGAUUGAGAAAUAAAUUAUUGAAUUUUUA
Molecule: long non-coding RNA, 342 nt
Organism: Armigeres subalbatus
Lineage: Eukaryota; Metazoa; Arthropoda; Insecta; Diptera; Culicidae
Exons: 3
Source: RefSeq, a predicted model, not a curated record